RNAcentral lists this ribosomal RNA (655 nucleotides) under Hemicryphalus argutus. RNAcentral describes it as "partial large subunit ribosomal RNA". It matches the Rfam family "Eukaryotic large subunit ribosomal RNA", at positions 400 to 788 of the family's 3401-position model. Lineage: Eukaryota; Metazoa; Arthropoda; Insecta; Coleoptera; Curculionidae. The record is from RNAcentral.
UGAAACCGUUUAGGGGUAAACCUGAGAAAUCCGAAAAGUCGAAGGGAGAAAUUCAUUCGCGUUUCGAGACCGGCUUCGAACGGAAAAAAUAAGCGACGGCUCGGAUUCCGAUCCGAGCCGCGCGUUCCGUUCGACGAUCCGGUCGCGAACGCGUGCACUUUUCUCCCGAAUAGUACGUCGCGAUCCGUCGGGCGUCGGUCUACGGUUCCGGGCGGAGACCGUCGAUCGCGCGCGUUAAUACGCGCGUCCGAUCGACGGACCCCGGUCUCCCGGCCGACUCGCUCGACGGUAUAACGAAUGGUUCGGGGCCGCUCUCAAAAAAAAUUUUUUUGUCGAGCGUCCGAUUGCGCGACAAGCGCGCCGGUUUUGCGUCGGUAAUUUCGGACCUAGCGCCGAUUCCGACCUCCGGCGACUGUUGGUCGCGCCGUUCUCGGACAGCGUCCCGUGUCGUCGAAAGACGAUAAAUAAAACCGAUCGGCGACGCUAUAGUUUCGGAUAAUUUCAGGACCCGUCUUGAAACACGGACCAAGGAGUCUAGCGUGCGCGCGAGUCAUUGGGAUUCGUUUCGAAACCUAAAGGCGCAAUGAAAGUGAACGUCUUCCUUUUUAAUAAGAGGUCGACGAAGGGAAGACGGGCGGUUCGUCGUCAAAAACGG